CCUACGGGAGGCAGCAGUAGGGAAUAUUGCUCAAUGGGCGGAACCCUGAAGCAGCAACGCCGCGUGGAGGAUGAAGGUUUUAGGAUUGUAAACUCCUUUUUUGAGAGAAGUUAAUGACGUUAUCUCACGAAUAAGCACUGGCUAACUUCGUGCCAGAAGCCGCAGUAAUACGGAGGGUGCAAGCGUUACUCGGAAUCACUGGGCGUAAAGGGUGCGCAGGCGGGCUUGUAAGUCAGAUGUGAAAUGCUGUAGCUUAACUACAGAACUGCAGUGGAAACUAUGAGUCUAGAGUGUGGGAAAGGUAGGUGGAAUUCUUGGUGUAGGGGUAAAAUCCGUAGAUAUCAAGAGGAAUACUCAUUGCGAAGGCGACCUACUGGAACAUUACUGACGCUCAUGCACGAAAGCGUGGGGAGCAAACAGGAUUAGAUACCCUUGUAGUC
RNAcentral lists this ribosomal RNA (440 nucleotides) under uncultured bacterium. RNAcentral describes it as "partial 16S ribosomal RNA". It matches the Rfam family "Bacterial small subunit ribosomal RNA", at positions 338 to 795 of the family's 1533-position model. The record is from RNAcentral.